UGGUUCUGGCAUCGAUGAAGAACGCAGCGAAAUGCGAUAAGUAAUGUGAAUUGCAGAAUUCAGUGAAUCAUCGAAUCUUUGAACGCACAUUGCGCCCGCUAGUAUUCUGGCGGGCAUGCCUGUCCGAGCGUCAUUUCAACCCUCAAGCCCCUCCAGGCUUGGCGUUGGGGAUCGGCCCCGCCCCGGCGGCCGGCCCCGAAAUGCAGUGGCGGUCACGCUGCAGCUUCCUCUGCGUAGUAGCAACACCUCGCACUGGGACGCGGCGCGGCCACGCCGUAAAUCAGACGAAAUUCUAAAGGUUGACCUCGGAUCAGGUAGGAAUACCCGCUGA
RNAcentral lists this unclassified non-coding RNA (331 nucleotides) under uncultured fungus. RNAcentral's name for it is "partial contains 5.8S ribosomal RNA and internal transcribed spacer 2". The stretch from base 1 to 133 matches the Rfam family "5.8S ribosomal RNA", at positions 22 to 154 of the family's 154-position model. Lineage: Eukaryota; Fungi. The record is from RNAcentral.